ACAGGGUUGCCCCAGUAGCGGCGAGCGAAGCGGCAACAGCCCAGAUUUGAAAUCCGGUGCCCUUUGGGCCCCCGAGUUGUAAUCUGCAGAUGGGUUUUCCGGCGAGGCGCGCGCCCAAGUUCCCUGGAAUGGGACGCCGUAGAGGGUGAGAGCCCCGUACUGGCGCCGUGCCGAGCCUCUGUGAGGCCCAUUCGACGAGUCGAGUAGUUUGGGAAUGCUGCUCUAAUUGCGAGGUAAAUCUCUCGUAAGGCUAAAUACCGGCCAGAGACCGAUAGCGCACAAGUAGCGUGAGCGAAAGAUGAAAAGAGCCUUGGAUAAGGGCGUCAAAAAGCAUGUGAAAUCGUUAUGGGGGAAGCGCUCGUCGCCAGACGUGGCGGCGGCUGGUUAGCCGGCGUUCUCGCCGGCGCACUCGGACCGCCGCCAGGCCAGCAACAGCUCGGACUGGGGCCCACUGCCGGAAGGAACGUAGCUCCCCUCGUGGGAGUGUUAUAGCCUUUCGGCGACGCCCUGGGCCGGGCUGAGGACCGCGCCCCGCGCACGGAUGCUGGCGUAAUGGCGCCUAGCGACCCGUCUUGAAACACGGACCAAGGAGUUGACCUAGCGCGCGAGUGUACGGGUGUAAAGCCCCUGCGCGUAGUGAAAGCGAACGCUGGUGGGAGCCUUCGGGCGCACCAUCGACCGAUCCUGAUGCUCCGCGGAUGGAUUUGAGUAGGAGCGCGCUGGGUCUGACCCGAAAGAAGGUGAACUAUGCAUGGGUAGGGUGAAGCCAGAGGAAACUCUGGUGGAGGCUCGCAGCGGUUCUGACGUGCAAAUCGAUCGUCAAACCUGUGCAUGGGGGCGAAAGACAAUCGAAC
This 854-nucleotide ribosomal RNA is filed under the name Canalisporium dehongense. RNAcentral's name for it is "partial 28S ribosomal RNA". It matches the Rfam family "Eukaryotic large subunit ribosomal RNA", at positions 69 to 940 of the family's 3401-position model. Lineage: Eukaryota; Fungi; Ascomycota; Sordariomycetes. The record is from RNAcentral.